Long non-coding RNA from Aegilops tauschii subsp. strangulata, 371 nucleotides. RefSeq lists it as uncharacterized. The record is from RefSeq and is a predicted model, not a curated record. NCBI's taxonomy places the organism in Eukaryota, Viridiplantae, Streptophyta, Magnoliopsida, Poales, Poaceae.
CUAUAAGUACAGAUCCCCACGAUGUUGAUCUAGGAAGAACAUCAUACACACACAUUAGCUUAUCAAUAUGGCAUGGCACACGAAGAGCAAUAAGGUGUUGAUAUGCUUGUGGCUUGUGAUGAUGCUUCUCUUGUCAUCCGAAGAGAUUGGAUCAGAUGCAUGCGACAAACAGGUUAGCAAGACAUGGCCGAAAUACUUACCAUGUGUUGUGAACGGCAAAUGCAACGACCCUUGCAAGAACGAGGGGUUCGACAGCGGCCGGUGCACGAAAUUUACUACAUGCUUAUGCUAUAGGAACUGCACCGGUGUACGGCGAUUGCUGUAGCGAUAUAUAUUUUAUUGAAUAAAUAAAUCAAGAAGCUCCUUAGACA